This 4723-nucleotide long non-coding RNA is filed under the name Olea europaea subsp. europaea. Lineage: Eukaryota; Viridiplantae; Streptophyta; Magnoliopsida; Lamiales; Oleaceae. The record is from RNAcentral.
CCAAAACCAAUCUUUGCUUUGCACCCCUGACCUUGUCGCCCAGCCAAAAGAUUUCAUUAUUUAACAGUCAAGUUCAGCAUCGAAACUUUCACUUGGAGCUUCCUCGUUUUAUGAAACAUCACCACUGCUGUUUCGUUUCCGUGCUUACAAUUCAGUUUACAAUUGAAGUCCAGUUUUGAGCUCCAUUUUACAAAAAAAUCAUUUUUUUCAAACUUAUUUUUAAUCAAUUUUUUUUUUCCUUUUUUAACAAUAGAAUAAUUUUAUACGUAAAUUCAUUUUUUAUAAAACCUAUUCUCUGCUUUAAGACAUGUUUUCCCAUAAAAUAGGCUGAAACAAUACGGGAAAUCUGAAACAACUAAUGUUUCGCCUACCUACUGUUCGAUGAAAUGUCCCCGAAACCAUUCUAAACACAUAACCCUUAUUUAUAGUUGUUACUGCUAAAAAAUGGCAGCUCUAUUCCUCAGAAGAGUCACCACCUUUAAGGCAAUAGCGAAUUGUCAUUCUUUUUCAAGGCAGUGUAUUUCAUUUUCUUCGACAAGAACCCCGACAUUUAUUGGCAAUGAUAAGAGAGACUCUGUUACCAACUACAAUGAUAGGCUUCAUCUUUCACCGUUGUUCUCGGAUAAUAAGAAUGAAGUAUGUGUAAAAGACUGCGGAAUUGAACUCGUGGAUGAUGAGACAUGGCAAGUGUCCUCGGUUAUAGCUGAUCUAUGGAGAGGGAAUGAUGAGAGGAAAGCGUGGGAAAAAAAGCCUUUUUCUGAUGAUCAAGAUGAUGACUAUAAUGGGGUUGUCAAGUUUGUGGCUUUAAAUAAGGGGAGCCCUGAUUUUGAUGAGAUUGAGGAUAUGAGGAUUCGUGGGUCUUUGUUUUACAAGCUUGACAAGAAUUCCAAAGAGUAUGAUGAAUAUAAAUUUGAUUUCCACGGGAGGAAAAAUUCAAAGAAUCAGAUUGAUAGGAAAGAAAACAAAAAGAACAAGGAGAAAGAUGAUCGAAGUUGCACGUUGGUGUCCAAGGUUGAGAAAACUUCAAAGAAGAAUGAGCCAAAAGAAAUCAAGCAAAAUAAUAAAGUGGAGAGAUCAAAGGGAAUGGAUAAGAAUGAGCAGAAAGAAAUCAAGAAAAAUAAAGUGAAUAAAGUAGAGAGAUUACAGGGAAUUGAAAAGAAUGAGCAUUUGAUUUCUCGUCUUCAUGAAAUGGGAGAUUCUUUUGUUGGAAAGAUGCAACGGACUCUCACUUUCAAUCAGUUAACGGCUCCUUACCAUGAACCAUUUUGCUUGGAUAUUUAUAUAUCCAAGGGUUCUGUGCGUGCUAGCGUUAUUCAUCGUGUUACUAGCAAAGUUGUGGUAGUGGCGCAUUCUAUUUCCAAGGACAUGAAAUUUGAUUUGGGUUCGACUAAGAAUAGAAAUGCUUGUGCUGUGGUUGGGGAAGUGUUGGCUCAGAGGGCCUUGGCUGAUGAUAUCCAUAAUGUGGUUUAUACUCCAAGGAAAGGGGAGAAAUUGGAAGGGAAGCUUCAGAUUGUACUUGAGUCCAUAAUUGAUAAUGGAAUCAACGUGAAGGUGAAGCUUAAGCAGAGAAAAUCCAGAGGAACCAGAGGCCCUGCACUCUGAACUCAGCACUAACACUGAAUGUCAAGGCUUUUGUUGGGUUAAAAAUGUGUUUUGCCAUAUAGGCUAUACUGGAUUUGAAAAUAGGUUAUGAAUAUGUCCUCGGUAAUAAAUUUUAAAGCAGACCGAGCAUACUGAUUGCUUGUGGGAACUACUAUGAAGUGCCUGUCUUUUAUGGCUAAGUUUCUUGCAUUGCUGCUGUAGUAUUUUACAUGCCGGCUCUUCGGAUUACUGUAUGUUAGCUACUUGAACUAUGUUUUAGGAAAAUAAUCAUUUGAUAUAUUCUAGGCAUGGUUUUAUGGUGUGCGAGAAAUGCAGACAAGGAUUAUUAUGCAUUUGAUUCAUCAACAUUCGUUAUAUGAAAGAAUCUGAAGUAGAAGUUUUGUUUAUCCUCUUUAAGGUCAAAUUUGUCCUGAUUGGUAGCAUUCUCCUUUGCAUCAUUUACAUUCAGGUGGAGAUUGUAAACUCAUAUUAUGCGUAUUAUGAUGCGACCAAUAAUAUUAAAGUCUUCGUUUCGAAGUCCUUUUUCUGGUAGCUAGAACCAAGUAUAAAAGUCCAAAUAUUUAACAAGGCUGUGAAGCAAUUAUAGUCGACCAAAGAAUCUAUAAUGAGGUACUUACCAUUGUAAGCAAAGAACGGCUGGGUUUGUUGCAUGUGCUGUCUACUCUGCUUUUAAUUGUGUUGACUGGGCAGCUUCAAGAUCAACCUAUUGAAAACCUUAUAUUCCUUGAGAAGGUUCUACCAUGUGGAAAUGCUCUUUAAUGGAACUUUAACUGUAACCGUCGUGACCAGAAAACCACCGGUUAAGAGAAAUAUACAUCAUGAACUUUUGGUUUCGGAUACUGUAAUUUUUUAUAUGAAGGGGAAAGUGAAGGAAUACCAAGAAUUGGCCCUGUGCAAAAGAACAAUCUACGAAGCUGGGGAUUACCUAGGAAACCUGUUCAAGAUCCAGAGAAACAGAUGGGGAAGUAAGGAUUAGAUGAGUUUCAUCGCUUUUCACAAGGUUCAAACACAAUGCUGUGCAAUAGGCUGUCAACAAAUGAGUCUCAAUGAAUGUUGAAUGAAAGAGCAUUCUUUUGAUCUGAAAUUCUAGCAAACCUCUGGUUGUGGUGCAUUCUAUUUCCAAGGCCAUGGGUUCGACUAAGAAUAGAAAUGCUUGUGCUGCGGUUGGGGAAUUGUUGGCUCAGAGGGCCUUCGCUGAUGAUAUCCAUAAUGUGGUUUAUAUUCCAAGGAAAGGGGAGAAAUUGGAAGGGAAGCUUCAGAUUGUACUCAAGUCCAUAAUUGAUAAAUGGAAUUGAUGUGAAGUUGAAACUUGAGCAGAGAAAAUCCAGAAAAACCAGAGCCUUGCCCUGAGAACUCAGCAGUAAUACUGCGUGUUAUGGCCUUCAUUGAGAUACAAAAUGUGGUUAGCCAUAUACUGGAUUUAUGGGCUCUGAUAAUGUCCUAGGAUCUAAAUUUUGAAGAAGACCGAGUUUAUUUAUCACUUGCGGGAGCUACUCUGAAGUGCUUGCUGUCUGCAUCAAUAUCAAAUGGAGUCAGUGAGUACAUUUUUGAUACGAUCAUAUUUAUUCACUGAACAUAAGUGUUGAAUGCUUUGUUAGCAUACUUCCACAUGGAUAUGGAGAAGUGUCUACUUUUUAAUUGUUAGUCACCUCUGAACUCACAUUGUGUCCAAUUACUGUUAUACAUGCAUGGAUGAAUUACUGUUCAUUAACAUUUGACCAUACUGCCAAAUUUGUUAAAUGACCUUAUAUGUCUACAUUCAACUCUGAGAAGUAGUAUUGAACCCGUAAUAAUAGAUAGAUACCAGCCAUGAACAAUGCAUUUAUUCAAUACAUGUCCUAUUUUGCUACUUUUAUCUAUGAAGAACUUUGUUUAAUGGUAGCAGGCGUUUCCAACUAAAUCUUCUUGUGCUUAAAUUUUAGACUGAAUGCGAAUGAUUUUAUCAUUCUUGGUUGUCAAAGAGAACGCUUUUAGAGAAAUCUAAACGUGGAAGCCUAAAUAUUCUUCAAACAAUAGAAAUUCCAGCAAGUAAAUACAAGGUAUCGUUAACCUUUGCCUUCAGAAUCUCACUUUGCACAUUCCUCUUAUAGAUUUAAUGCAGAAAAACAGUAACAAUUAGCAGUGCCUCAAAACUGAAAAUUUUAACAACCAACGGAUUUAUUAGUCAUUGGAAGUAACUAGCUGCAGACAGAGCAAUUCUUCCUCGGGUAUGAUUCUAAUGUGACAAUACACAAUAAAGCAUAACCUCUCUCCUCAACAUCCUCACUAAGCAUCCCAUCACUUUGGUCGUCCAUUCUUGAGCCGGGCAUGUCAUGCAUUACAGUCAUAUGGCACUGGCAAAUCACUUUCCAAUGUCUUCGAUAGAAUUGUCUCGUCUGGCUCAACCUCUAGUUCAGUUGUUUUACCUUCAUAUUCAAUUAGUACCUUGUAAGCAUGGAUGUAGGAAUCCCAGAUCAAUUAUGGGAUUUAUUGUAUCUUAUAUUUAUGGUAUACUUAUAAGUUACGAAAGAUCUUUCUUCCUUAGAAUAUUAUUAUUAUUAUUAUUUUUUACUACCAAGUAUUGUGUAUAUAUUUAGGCUGGUUGUAUUGAAAAUAUAUUGAGAAAAAAAGAAUUAAAUCUCUCUCAUCUUGUUCACAAUGGACAAUGCUGGAUAAUCUGCUAGAAGUUCUUAACCAGGAAUUUGAUUGUUGGGCUGAAGGGAAUGUUGCCAUGUCUUUUGGAUAGGUGUAGAAAUGGGCAAGCUUUUUGGAGUGUAGAGAUGAUGUAUGGCGUGUGAGAGGACAAGGCUCUGAUGGAUGUGGAUGGUUAUCAAAGUAACUUUCACUUUUUUUUAAGUAAAUUGACUUAUUUUUAAGUUGAGUCUAAUUUCACUUGAAAUGGGAAAAUAGAAAAGAGUAUUUUGACCACAAACCUAAUUAUAAAUUCUUGCAUUCGAGUAAAGUUGCUUAAACUGAAAAUGUACGAUAAAUAAUUUUGAAUAUUUUCAAAAUUUAGAAUCGAAUUUUGGUAUUCAAAUAUAUUGAAUUUCACCAAUCAUAUUCUUUUAGAACUCCUGUAUUUACUUGUUUAUUGGAUAUUAUGUCAGCUCAUGAUUUGAAGUUUCAGACCAAGAAUAAUUGG